RNAcentral lists this ribosomal RNA (301 nucleotides) under uncultured bacterium. Its description in RNAcentral is "partial 16S ribosomal RNA". It matches the Rfam family "Bacterial small subunit ribosomal RNA", at positions 509 to 807 of the family's 1533-position model. The record is from RNAcentral.
CAGCCGCCGCGGUAAUACGGAGGAUCCAAGCGUUAAUCAGAAUUACUGGGCGUAAAGCGUGCGCAGGCGGUUUUGUAAGACAGAGGUGAAAUCCCCGGGCUCAACCUGGGAACUGCCUUUGUGACUGCAAGGCUAGAGUACGGCAGAGGGGGAUGGAAUUCCGCGUGUAGCAGUGAAAUGCGUAGAUAUGCGGAGGAACACCGAUGGCGAAGGCAAUCCCCUGGGCCUGUACUGACGCUCAUGCACGAAAGCGUGGGGAGCAAACAGGAUUAGAUACCCCAGUAGUCCCUGUCUCUUAUAC